ACCAUAUGGGAGCUGAGAAGAAGGAGAGAAAAAAAAAAAAAGGGAAAGGGAACGCUCCUUACACGCGUGUAGCCCUGCUCCUCAUUACAUUCCCUGCUAGAGAGCUACCCAGGCCAGCCAAAAAAUAAAACCGGCUCCGUUUGAGCGUCCUAUUUCAAGCCCUUAUAAACUGUGAGGUGUAAAUACUUGUGUGUGCAAACCCACACUCAACCCUGCGUGAAGCUUGGAGCAGCAGCCCCAGCCUCUCCCCACGUGCCCGUCGUUGGGAAGGCGCCAGCUGCUGCCGCCGGCAGCUCUUUGUUGCAGGAGCCAACCUUUUAUUUUAUCUUUUUUUUUUAACCUGUCAUGGGCUGGCACAGUGCUGGAGCUCCUCCAAAGCCUGGUCCUCCCACCUCUGUGUUUUGUUUUGUUUAUUUCCCCCCCAAAAAAUGUGGCUGCCUAAGAGCCGGUUAUUAUUAUUAUUAUUUUUCCUGCAACCAGGGAUUUGAGGCAUCCCGCGGCUUCUCUUUGGAUGUUGAGUUUGUCUCCGUUUCCUCGGCCGCGAGGCUUGGUCGAAGGGCGAGGAAAGGACCCCUUGCUAUGGCAAUAGAAACCUGAGACCAUGGCGAUAUUUGUCCUGAAGAAAAGCGAUUUGCAUCUGGCACGGUGCGUCCCGGGCGGCGCGUGGGCUCGGCCAGGCUCACCCGGGCAGGUUUUUGAGGAGGAGUUGGCGGAACCCAGCGCGGGCGCUCGCUUCGAGUCUCUUCACCGAAACAAGGGCCCGAGGGAAACCACAUCACGAUAACCAACACUUGAGUUCGUCCCAAAGCAUCCCUGGGGAUGGCUCAGUCUGGAAGGAGCUGGCCCCCCAGCUGGGGGCUUGCAAGCCAGAGUCAAAUUUGGGGUGGUUUCCUUGGAUUUCAGUGCUCUUGCUGCACAGCUGCUUCGCGCGAGGGCAGGAGGCGCUCGACAUCCCAGCCUGAUCCAAACGCAGCCUGGGAAUUAUCUUCCAAAACCCAGGGAGCAAAGUUUCCAAAACCUUUUAUAAGACUCGGGUGCUGAGUUUCCACCGAUGUCAGCCCCAGACCCCUUCACGGGAUCCCAGAACGGGCGAGUUGGGCAGGGACCUCUGGGUCCAUCUCUCCAAGCCCUGCUCCAGCAGGACCACCCGGAGCAGGGCUCCCAGGACCGCGUCCAGGCGGCUUUUGGAGCUCUCAGAGGAUGGAGACCGGUUCCAGUGCUGUCACCUCCACGGUGCCGCGUUACAUCCUGCUCUUCAGACAGAACCGGCCCGCAGGGCACCGAGCUCUCCCUGCAACGCCCUCCACCAGCAUUGGCCAAACCCCUCGGUGUCCCCAAGUUUCUCAAGGACCCGCUGCGAUGGUUUUUGGAGCGAGCACGUGAGUGUUUCCCCACGUUCUCUGUCAAGUCUUUAAGGCCAGAGGCGAGGUGGGAACGAGGACGGGGCUGCAAGAGGAAAGCUCAGCCUGCAGGUGGGAAGCCAGGAGCGAGCAGCCCGGGGUGGCCGAGCAGAGGGGUUGGGGCAGGCACCGUCACCCCAUCACACGUAGAAACAUCGAGCAUUAGUAAAACAA
This is a long non-coding RNA of Oxyura jamaicensis (ruddy duck), 1574 nucleotides long. RefSeq lists it as uncharacterized. The transcript is spliced from 2 exons. The record is from RefSeq and is a predicted model, not a curated record. Lineage: Eukaryota; Metazoa; Chordata; Aves; Anseriformes; Anatidae.